This 468-nucleotide ribosomal RNA is filed under the name uncultured bacterium. RNAcentral's name for it is "partial 16S ribosomal RNA". It matches the Rfam family "Bacterial small subunit ribosomal RNA", at positions 28 to 507 of the family's 1533-position model. The record is from RNAcentral.
GACGAACGCUGGCGGCGUGCUUAACACAUGCAAGUCGAACGGAAAGGCCCUGCUUUUGUGGGGUGCUCGAGUGGCGAACGGGUGAGUAACACGUGAGUAACCUGCCCUUGACUUUGGGAUAACUUCAGGAAACUGGGGCUAAUACCGGAUAGGAGCUCCUGCUGCAUGGUGGGGGUUGGAAAGUUUCGGCGGUUGGGGAUGGACUCGCGGCUUAUCAACUUGUUGGUGGGGUAGUGGCUUACCAAGGCUUUGACGGGUAGCCGGCCUGAGAGGGUGACCGGCCACAUUGGGACUGAGAUACGGCCCAGACUCCUACGGGAGGCAGCAGUGGGGAAUAUUGCACAAUGGGCGGAAGCCUGAUGCAGCAACGCCGCGUGCGGGAUGACGGCCUUCGGGGUGUAAACCGCUUUCGCCUGUGACGAAGCGUGAGUGACGGUAAUGGGUAAAGAAGCACCGGCUAACUACGUG